This 161-nucleotide ribosomal RNA is filed under the name Fritillaria anhuiensis. RNAcentral's name for it is "5.8S ribosomal RNA". It matches the Rfam family "5.8S ribosomal RNA". Rfam says of the family: 5.8S ribosomal RNA (5.8S rRNA) is a component of the large subunit of the eukaryotic ribosome. It is transcribed by RNA polymerase I as part of the 45S precursor that also contains 18S and 28S rRNA. RNAcentral also lists the same sequence under 16 other names. The record is from RNAcentral. Lineage: Eukaryota; Viridiplantae; Streptophyta; Magnoliopsida; Liliales; Liliaceae.
CAUACGACUCUCGGCAACGGAUAUCUCGGCUCUCGCAUCGAUGAAGAACGUAGCGAAAUGCGAUACUUGGUGUGAAUUGCAGAAUCCCGUGAACCAUCGAGUCUUUGAACGCAAGUUGCGCCCGAGGCCUUUCGGCCGAGGGCACGCCUGCCUGGGCGUCA